Molecule: ribosomal RNA, 1807 nt
Filed under: human gut metagenome
Description: bacterial LSU rRNA
Rfam family: Bacterial large subunit ribosomal RNA
Source: RNAcentral
GGUUGGCUCAGAAGCAGCCAUCCUUUAAAGAGUGCGUAACAGCUCACUAGUCGAAUGACUCUGCGCCGAUAAUUUACCGGGGCUAAGCAUACUACCGAAGCUAUGGAUCCCAAGGGAUGGUAGGGGAGCGUUCCAUGAACGGAGAAGUACGACCGAAAGGACGUGUGGAGAUCAUGGAAGAGAGAAUGCCGGUGUGAGUAGCGGAACGUGGGUGAGAAUCCCACGCACCGAAAACCCAAGGUUUCCAGAGGAAGGUUCGUCCGCUCUGGGUAAGUCGGGACCUAAGGCGAGGCCGAAAGGCGUAGUCGAUGGACAACAGGUAGAGAUUCCUGUACCCGUAUAUAUGUGAAGGAAUGACGGAGAGAGGAAGCUGCAGCCAGCGGCUGGAAGAGCUGGUGCAAGCGAGAUAUCGGGAUGGCAGGCAAAUCCACCAUCCGAAACGAGAAGGCGUGAAGCGUACGGAAAGCUACGGCGAGUACGGAAGGCAGUGGAGGAACUUCCAAGAAAAGUUUCUAACGUAAAGUAUAUAUGGCCCGUACCGAAAAUGGACACACAUGGGUGAGGAGAGAAUCCUAAGGUGAGCGAGAGAACUAUAGCUAAGGAACUCUGCAAAAUGACUCCGUAACUUAGGGAGAAGGAGUGCUCAUAGAGAUAUGAGCCGCAGUGAAACGGCCCAAGCGACUGUUUACCAAAAACACAGCUCUCUGCUAAGCCGCAAGGCGAAGUAUAGGGGGUGACGCCUGCCCGGUGCUGGAAGGUUAAGGGGAGGGGUUAACGCAAGUGAAGCCCUGAACUGAAGCCCCAGUAAACGGCGGCCGUAACUAUAACGGUCCUAAGGUAGCGAAAUUCCUUGUCAGGUAAGUUCUGACCCGCACGAAAGGCGUAACGAUUUGGGCGCUGUCUCAGCUGUAGACUCGGUGAAGUCUUAGUACCUGUGAAGAUGCAGGUUACCCGCGACUAGACGGAAAGACCCCAUGGAGCUUCACUGCAGGUUGAUAUUGGGAUUUGAUGCAGCAUGUACAGGAUAGGUAGGAGGCAAAGAGAUGGAUACGCCAGUAUUCAAGGAGCCGCUGUUGGGAUACUACCCCUGUUGUAUUGGAUUUCUAACCGGACGACGUAGAGCCGUUGACGGGACAGUGUCAGUCGGGCAGUUUGACUGGGGCGGUCGCCUCCCAAAGAGUAACGGAGGCGCCCAAAGAUACCCUCAGCUUGGAUGGAAACCAAGCGCAGAGUGCAAAGGCAAAAGGGUGUUUGACUGCGAGACCCACAAGUCGAGCAGGGACGAAAGUCGGGCUUAGUGAUCCGGCGGUGCUGAAUGGAAAGGCCGUCGCUCAACGGAUAAAAGCUACCCUGGGGAUAACAGGCUGAUCUCCCCCAAGAGUCCACAUCGACGGGGAGGUUUGGCACCUCGAUGUCGGCUCAUCGCAUCCUGGGGCUGUAUUCGGUCCCAAGGGUUUGGCUGUUCGCCAAUUAAAGCGGUACGCGAGCUGGGUUCAGAACGUCGUGAGACAGUUCGGUCCCUAUCUGUCGUGGGCGCAGGAAAUUUGAGAAGAGCUGUCCUCAGUACGAGAGGACCGGGAUGGACGCAUCAAUGGUGGACCAGUUGUCACGCCAGUGGCAUAGCUGGGUAGCUAAAUGCGGAAGGGAUAAACGCUGAAGGCAUCUAAGUGUGAAACCCACUUCAAGAUGAGAUUUCCCAUUGCGCAAGCAAGUAAGACCCCUUAAAGACGAUAAGGUAGAUAGGUCAGGAGUGUAAGCAUGGUGACAUGUUAAGCGGACUGAUACUAAUAGGUCGAGGGCUUGACCG